This 364-nucleotide ribosomal RNA is filed under the name uncultured bacterium. Its description in RNAcentral is "partial 16S ribosomal RNA". It matches the Rfam family "Bacterial small subunit ribosomal RNA", at positions 338 to 699 of the family's 1533-position model. The record is from RNAcentral.
CCUACGGGUGGCAGCAGUGAGGAAUAUUGGUCAAUGGCCGGAAGGCUGACCCAGCCAUGCCGCGUGAAGGUCAGUGCCCUUUGGGCGUUAAACUUCUUUUGUCCGGGAGCAAUCAUGUUCCCGUGUGUCCAGACGAAAGUACCGUAAGCAUAAGCAUCGCCUCACUCCGGGACAGGAGCUGCGGUAAUACGGGGGGUGCAAGCGUUUUCCGGAUUUGUGUGGGUGGAAGGGUGGGUAGGGUGUGAAGUAAGUCAGCUGGUAAAUGCCCCGGCUCGACGGGGUGAACUGCCUUUGAUACUGUCUUGCUGGAGUGCUGGUGAGGUGGGAGGAAUGUGUGGUGUAGCGGUGAAAUGCAUAGAUAUCA